AGUGCGGCGAUCUUGAAGGAGUCUCUGGCAUCAUAGUGCGCAACGGACCGGAAAUUCAAGUUGCUAGUCGCAAAAGCUUCGGAAGUCGCAAAAUGAGCAUCUAGACAGUAGUGAUACCAAGUGUGAACUUUCAAAACGGCACAAGCCAGCAAAGAACCCUGCAUAUACAGCCCUGGCAUGCUGUAGAGCGAAGUGUUGUUGAAUGACAAUAAUCAAUUUUGGUCAUUCAAUAAAUAUUCCAUAAAUGCGUGAUUUUGACUUGAA
Dermacentor silvarum is the source of this 264-nucleotide long non-coding RNA. RefSeq lists it as uncharacterized. Lineage: Eukaryota; Metazoa; Arthropoda; Arachnida; Ixodida; Ixodidae. The transcript is spliced from 2 exons. The record is from RefSeq and is a predicted model, not a curated record.